Long non-coding RNA from Thunnus maccoyii (southern bluefin tuna), 365 nucleotides. RefSeq lists it as uncharacterized. NCBI's taxonomy places the organism in Eukaryota, Metazoa, Chordata, Actinopteri, Scombriformes, Scombridae. The transcript is spliced from 4 exons. The record is from RefSeq and is a predicted model, not a curated record.
CUGGUUUCUGUUGACUUGUUACAGCGCUGUUCUGCCGCAGUUGACCUUGCAUUACUGUGUCGCAGUGUGUUUCAGUCUUUAAAGGUGAACACAUGCAAUGAAUCAGUGUGUGGAGACAGAGGAGGGGGUCCAUCCCUCUGAAACCCCUCUGUGUGGGCAACAUGACAACCAGACCAAAGCUCAGAGGAAGCCAGACUUCAGUGAAUCUCCCUUCUCAGAUUCAAAGAAGAAGGUUGCAACAGCUGAUCAUUAUUCAGUCUUGUCUUCAGACAGUUGGAAAAAGCAAAAGAUGAACCCCCCCACCACCCAGGAGCUUGGUGUUGGAAGUAGUGCUGGGAUGGAAACAAUGUCAACACACCUGUCAA